AUUGAACGCUGGCGGCAGGCCUAACACAUGCAAGUCGAACGGUAACAGGAAGAAGCUUGCUUCUUUGCUGACGAGUGGCGGACGGGUGAGUAAUGUCUGGGAAACUGCCUGAUGGAGGGGGAUAACUACUGGAAACGGUAGCUAAUACCGCAUAACGUCGCAAGACCAAAGAGGGGGACCUUCGGGCCUCUUGCCAUCGGAUGUGCCCAGAUGGGAUUAGCUAGUAGGUGGGGUAACGGCUCACCUAGGCGACGAUCCCUAGCUGGUCUGAGAGGAUGACCAGCCACACUGGAACUGUGACACGGUCCAGACUCCUACGGGAGGCAGCAGUGGGGAAUAUUGCACAAUGGGCGCAAGCCUGAUGCAGCCAUGCCGCGUGUAUGAAUAAGGCCUUCGGGUUGUAAAGUACUUUCAGCGGGGAGGAAGGGAGUAAAGUUAAUACCUUUGCUCAUUGACGUUACCCGCAGAAGAAGCACCGGCUAACUCCGUG
RNAcentral lists this ribosomal RNA (490 nucleotides) under uncultured bacterium. Its description in RNAcentral is "partial 16S ribosomal RNA". It matches the Rfam family "Bacterial small subunit ribosomal RNA", at positions 30 to 507 of the family's 1533-position model. The record is from RNAcentral.